ACUAACACGAGCAAAUUCCCUUCGAAUUCUUCAACAUUGUGUCCAAAUACUACCCAACCACGAGCAAAGCUAAUUCACCCUUAUGUUGAUAUCUAGACAGCAAUAAAACCCAUAUUCCCCACGAGUAACUCCACAAAAGUAGCACACCGACCAAAACAAGACCAAAACACUUAAAUCCUCGCUCGGUAGAGGAGAGACUUAUUAGACUUGUUAGAAGACUUAUAGAGCUAUGACCAUCAACUAGAGACUCAUCCCCAGCCUAAAACACAAUUAAACUGUAACAAUCUCCUUCCUCGAAGGGUUGGAUUUUACCACUUUUAUUUCCUCCUCCAACUGCAACUGCAUCUUUGCAGCUUUCUUCUUGUUGGCCUUACAUGCAUCGCCUGGAUCUCCUUUUCCAUCAGUCCCACGAGUCUUCUUCUUUAUUUUUUUUUGCCCAACAGACGACUUCUUUUCUUCUUAUUUGGCCUGCUUUGUGCGGCUGCAGUGACAACAAUAUGCCUACCAAUAGCGAGACUAAGUCGAGGUCGUUUUGAUCUCACUGCCAAUGGACCUGAAGCAAAUUCUCCAGUAGCAAAGGUAGCAAAAGUAGGUGCAAUCGCAGAGGGUAUUUGUGCUUUAGACACAGUUCUUG
Fragaria vesca subsp. vesca is the source of this 634-nucleotide RNA transcript. RefSeq lists it as uncharacterized. The record is from RefSeq and is a predicted model, not a curated record. The transcript is spliced from 2 exons. NCBI's taxonomy places the organism in Eukaryota, Viridiplantae, Streptophyta, Magnoliopsida, Rosales, Rosaceae.